RNAcentral lists this unclassified non-coding RNA (360 nucleotides) under uncultured Leotiomycetes. RNAcentral's name for it is "sequence contains ITS2". The stretch from base 1 to 154 matches the Rfam family "5.8S ribosomal RNA". The record is from RNAcentral. Lineage: Eukaryota; Fungi; Ascomycota; Leotiomycetes.
AACUUUUAGCAACGUGUCACUUGGUUCUGGCAUCGAUUAAGAACGCAGCGAAAUGCGAUAAGUAAUGCGAAUUGCAGAAUUCAGUGAGUCAUCGAAUCUUUGAACGCACAUUGCGCCCCUUGGUAUUCCGAGGGGCAUGCCUGUUCGAGCGUCAUUAUAACCCUCAAGCCUCGCUUGGUAUUGGAACCGCGGGAUCGCGGCCCCUAAAAUCAGUGGCGGUGCCUAUAGGCUCUACGCGUAGUCAUCUUUCUCGCGACAGACCCCCUAUACGUGCUCGCCAAGAACCCCCCAUUCUUUCAGGUUGACCUCGGAUCAGGUAGGGAUACCCGCUGAACUUAAGCAUAUCAAUAAGCGGAGGCU